ACGUCAUAUUAAAUAUUUAUUGUUUUCUGCAAACUGACCUUGGAGUAACACUCAAGCCAGGAGGGGAUUGGUUAGUGUUCAAGUUGCUGAGAUCUUAGGUCAAAAAGCCAUAGAAAAGGGGCACCUGGGUGGCUCAGUCAUGUUCUCUUGGUUCGUGAGUUCAAGCCCUGCAUCGGGUUGCUGCUGUCAGUGCACAGCCCGCUUGGAUCCUCUGUCCCCCCCACCUCUGCCCCUCCCACCUUACACUCUCUCAAAAAUAAAUAUUAAAAGAAAAAAAAAGCUACAAAAAACAAAACACUGGGGGUGGGGCCAGGGGAGAGGAAUCAAUGACUUGGAGGCAGUUUCACCUUGCCACCAAUUCCAAGAGCUGGGGCUUUUGUGACUCAGGACAUGGUGACAAGAGUUGAGUAAACCAGAGACCAAGGCAGUGAAGGUUUUACUGGGGAAAGAAAACUUGGGUGUAUGUGUGUGGGGGAAGGAUGGUGAAUGAAAUAGGGAAAAUGAUAAAGGUGUUUUGGAAGGCUAGGGGGAAGUGGUCCUGGGAACCUGAAAACAAGGAAAUUCAGCUUAUCCUGAUAAGGCAGGGUCCGGGGAAUGAAGGCAGGGUGAGGCAUGUCAAGGACCUGGGAGGCAGAGGGAGAACUGGAAAGGAAACCCCAGGUGAAGAAGAGUCUGGGAUAGGGUACAGAAGUCCAUGGAGAAGGCCAGUGGAUCCCAGGGUCCGAGACAUCAGAAGUUGGGCUUGUGCUUCUUGAGCUCCACCAUUAGAUGAUGAAUGUUGAUGAGCUCAGCCCUGGCAGGGAGAGCUCGGAGCUGGGGCUGAGAGAGCACACGGUGGAACCGAUGAUAGAGCUGGAUCAGCUGGGUCAAAGCUCCCUGGUCAGAGAAAGUCAUGGAAGGAUCAUGUGGGGUGGUGCUAAAGAUGAUGUUAGGAAUCAGGCUAGGGCUCAUCCAGAAUUCUGGGCAUGCUGGUAGUUGAUGAUCAAGGGUCACUUGGAUGAUGCGAGCCCAGGGAAAAGAGAGGGAAAACAACUAGUGACAGGGUGGGGCAAAGUGAGGGCUGGGAGUUGUAAGUCACCUGGAUGAUACUGGUCCCAUUUCUGAAGUUGGUGAAACUCCGCAUUACAUCCUGACUCAGAGACUCCACUGAUGAUUUCCAGGAACUACCAAAGCCACGGAUCAGCUGAGUAACCCGG
Molecule: long non-coding RNA, 1196 nt
Filed under: Lynx pardinus (Iberian lynx)
Lineage: Eukaryota; Metazoa; Chordata; Mammalia; Carnivora; Felidae
Source: RNAcentral